Molecule: long non-coding RNA, 542 nt
Organism: Lytechinus variegatus (green sea urchin)
Lineage: Eukaryota; Metazoa; Echinodermata; Echinoidea; Temnopleuroida; Toxopneustidae
Exons: 3
Source: RefSeq, a predicted model, not a curated record
UCAGUUCUCCAUUCGCCUUCAAAUAGAAUGAUUGAAAAUACUAUCGUUUCACAACACAUAGUUUUCUCAUGAUAAUUUUGAGUUAAAAAUUAUCAACAGGUAAUAACCACGGAUACAAUCGACAGCCCAAAUUGUGUACCCGAUGAUGUAGAGUUGUACAUGGUUUCAGUAACUAAUAUUCGUCGAGUAUUCUUUCCUACACUUGAGAAAUAAGGACAGCUGCAAGAAGGACAAAAAGACAUCCAAGCCGCGUGUCUAUUCUAUUUCCUUUGGAUGACAGCAGAAAAGGCGUAGACAAAAGCAAAAUGCAUAUUCGUCAUGUUCGUCAAAUACACGAGUCUGCUCCUUAUGGACGCAUCGUAUCUCUAUCGGCAUACAUCAUGCUUGUGGUAGUAUUGACAGUACCUAAAUCACAGACAAAGUGGAUCUUGCCACCAGAGCAUUCAUGCCAGAGUAUAACCAGUCCCGAUGGAACCGAGAUACAACUACUGCCAAAACUCAUUGCGAAGCCACCGGUCCCUUAUCCGGGGAUGAACGAGAGA